This 383-nucleotide unclassified non-coding RNA is filed under the name Syringa josikaea. RNAcentral describes it as "partial external transcribed spacer". Lineage: Eukaryota; Viridiplantae; Streptophyta; Magnoliopsida; Lamiales; Oleaceae. The record is from RNAcentral.
UCGGUGCUCCUAAAAGUUUCGCCAAAGCUCAUGCUUGCGGCUUGUGUCGUAUCGAGACCAAUGUGCGGCUUGUUUGCACGACGGAAUGACCAAAAAGUCGGCACCAAAAGAUGAAUCGUCGAGUGUGAGUGCGUGCGGUGCCCUCGGGCGCGACGUGCAAGGCGAUGUUCUAGGUGCUUGCGAUUGAGACCGUCAUUGCACUGCAAACAUCGAAGCUCAUUGCUUUCGGCCCGUGUUCGGUUCGGAUUGGUUGUACUGCAAAAUUGGUUGGUUCCUUCAUUAAUUGAUUACCGUGUGUAGCGGGACAUGCUUGGGCUUAGUUGUCACUUGUUUGAGAACUUUCGGGUUAGCGGACUUGUGGUGUGCUUUGCUUGGGUUAUGCG